AUUGAACGCUGGCGGCAGGCCUAACACAUGCAAGUCGAACGGUAACAGGAAGAAGCUUGCUUCUUUGCUGACGAGUGGCGGACGGGUGAGUAAUGUCUGGGAAACUGCCUGAUGGAGGGGGAUAACUACUGGAAACGGUAGCUAAUACCGCAUAACGUCGCAAGACCAAAGAGGGGGACCUUCGGGCCUCUUGCCAUCGGAUGUGCCCAGAUGGGAUUAGCUAGUAGGUGGGGUAACGGCUCACCUAGGCGACGAUCCCUAGCUGGUCUGAGAGGAUGACCAGCCACACUGGAACUGAGACACGGUCCAGACUCCUACGGGAGGCAGCAGUGGGGAAUAUUGCACAAUGGGCGCAAGCCUGAUGCAGCCAUGCCGCGUGUAUGAAGAAGGCCUUCGGGUUGUAAAGUACUUUCAGCGGGGAGGAAGGGAUUAAAGUUAAUACCUUUGCGCAUUGACGUUACCCGCAGAAGAAGCACCGGCUAACUCCGUG
This 490-nucleotide ribosomal RNA is filed under the name uncultured bacterium. RNAcentral describes it as "partial 16S ribosomal RNA". It matches the Rfam family "Bacterial small subunit ribosomal RNA", at positions 30 to 507 of the family's 1533-position model. The record is from RNAcentral.